ACUAGGUAGUAUGGCCCGUCGUACUUACGUCUAUUAACCCAGUACGUGACUUUUGGUGCCUUUCCUUGCAGGACAUCGUUGAACACUGGGGAUUGGGCAAGGACAUUUAGGUCAUUUUGAGCUCCCGGAACCCUGAAAAAGGUGUGCCAAAUCCAUGUAUCAAAAGAUCCCACCUCCAGAAUGAUACUUUUUUUAUCCUUUUCUAUCCCCAUAAGCACCUUGCCAU
This 226-nucleotide long non-coding RNA is filed under the name Malus domestica (apple). RNAcentral describes it as "long non-coding RNA (MDOM_LNC018514)". The record is from RNAcentral. Lineage: Eukaryota; Viridiplantae; Streptophyta; Magnoliopsida; Rosales; Rosaceae.